Molecule: ribosomal RNA, 253 nt
Filed under: uncultured bacterium
Lineage: Bacteria
Description: partial 16S ribosomal RNA
Rfam family: Bacterial small subunit ribosomal RNA
Source: RNAcentral
UACGUAGGGUGCAAGCGUUAAUCGGAAUGACUGGGCGUAAAGGGUGUGUAGGCGGUUUAUUAAGUCUGAUGUGAAAUCCCCGGGCUCAACCUGGGAACUGCGUUGGAUACUGGUAAACUAGAGUACGUAAGAGGGGGGUGGAAUUCCACGUGUAGCAGUGAAAUGCGUAGAGAUGUGGAGGAACACCGAUGGCGAAGGCAGCCCCCUGGGACGAUACUGACGCUGAGGCACGAAAGCGUGGGGAGCAAACAGG